Molecule: ribosomal RNA, 253 nt
Filed under: uncultured bacterium
Lineage: Bacteria
Description: partial 16S ribosomal RNA
Rfam family: Bacterial small subunit ribosomal RNA
Source: RNAcentral
UACGGAAGGUGCAAGCGUUGUUCGGAUUGACUGGGCGUAAAGAGCACGUAGGCGGGUUUGUAAGCCGAUUGUGAAAGCCCUGGGCUUAACCUGGGAACGGCAAUCGAAACUGCGAAUCUUGAAUACCUGAGAGGUUAGUGGAAUUCCUGGUGUAGGAGUGAAAUCCGUAGAUAUCAGGAGGAACACCGGCGGCGAAGGCGGCUAACUGGCAGAGUAUUGACGCUGAGGUGCGAAAGCGUGGGGAGCAAACAGG